UUAACGUAUCUGGGGUGCUGAAAAGCUGAGAAUAUACCCACUGAACCUGAUUUGGUUAAUACCUGCGCAGGAAGAUACAGUCCAUAUAUA
Weissella paramesenteroides ATCC 33313 is the source of this 90-nucleotide regulatory RNA element. It matches the Rfam family "TPP riboswitch aptamer (THI element)". From Rfam's summary of the family: Vitamin B(1) in its active form thiamin pyrophosphate (TPP) is an essential coenzyme that is synthesised by coupling of pyrimidine and thiazole moieties in bacteria. The previously detected thiamin-regulatory element, thi box was extended, resulting in a new, highly conserved RNA secondary structure, the THI element, which is widely distributed in eubacteria and also occurs in some archaea. NCBI's taxonomy places the organism in Bacteria, Bacillati, Bacillota, Bacilli, Lactobacillales, Lactobacillaceae. The record is from Rfam.